UUUUAAAGAGAGUUUGAUCCUGGCUCAGGACGAACGCUGGCGGCGUGCCUAAUACAUGCAAGUCGAACGAACG
This 73-nucleotide ribosomal RNA is filed under the name Listeria monocytogenes. Its description in RNAcentral is "partial 16S ribosomal RNA". It matches the Rfam family "Bacterial small subunit ribosomal RNA", at positions 1 to 72 of the family's 1533-position model. Lineage: Bacteria; Bacillati; Bacillota; Bacilli; Caryophanales; Listeriaceae. The record is from RNAcentral.